This 292-nucleotide ribosomal RNA is filed under the name uncultured Enterobacteriaceae bacterium. Its description in RNAcentral is "partial 16S ribosomal RNA". It matches the Rfam family "Bacterial small subunit ribosomal RNA", at positions 505 to 796 of the family's 1533-position model. The record is from RNAcentral. Lineage: Bacteria; Pseudomonadati; Pseudomonadota; Gammaproteobacteria; Enterobacterales; Enterobacteriaceae.
GUGCCAGCCGCCGCGGUAAUACGGAGGGUGCAAGCGUUAAUCGGAAUGACUGGGCGUAAAGCGCACGCAGGCGGUUUGUUAAGUUGGAUGUGAAAUCCCCGGGCUUAACCUCGGAACUGCAUUCAAAACUGGCAAGCUAGAGUCUCGUAGAGGGGGGUAGAAUUCCAGGUGUAGCGGUGAAAUGCGUAGAGAUCUGGAGGAAUACCUGUGGCGAAGGCGACCCCCUGGACGAAGACUGACGCUGAGGCGCGAAAGCGUGGGGAGCAAACAGGAUUAGAUACCCCUGUAGUCC